This 253-nucleotide ribosomal RNA is filed under the name uncultured bacterium. RNAcentral's name for it is "partial 16S ribosomal RNA". It matches the Rfam family "Bacterial small subunit ribosomal RNA", at positions 524 to 776 of the family's 1533-position model. The record is from RNAcentral.
UACGUAGGGUGCGAGCGUUAAUCGGAAUUACUGGGCGUAAAGCGUGCGUAGGCGGUUCGUUAAGUUCGUUGUGAAAGCCCCGGGCUCAACCUGGGAACUGCAAUGGAAACUGGCGGGCUUGAGUGUGGCAGAGGGGGGUGGAAUUCCGCGUGUAGCAGUGAAAUGCGUAGAGAUGCGGAGGAACACCGGUGGCGAAGGCGGGUCUCUGGGCCGAUAUUGACGCUGAGGAGCGAAAGCGUGGGGAGCAAACAGG